GACGAACGCUGGCGGCGUGCUUAACACAUGCAAGUCGAGCGGUAAGGCCCUUUCGGGGGUACACGAGCGGCGAACGGGUGAGUAACACGUGGGUGACCUGCCCUCAGCUCUGGGAUAAGCCUGGGAAACCGGGUCUAAUACCGGAUAUGACUCCAUGACGCAUGUUGUGGGGCGGAAAGCCUUGUGCGGCUGAGGAUGGGCCCGCGGCCUAUCAGCUUGUUGGUGGGGUGANGGCCUACCAAGGCGACGACGGGUAGCCGGCCUGAGAGGGCGACCGGCCACACUGGGACUGAGACACGGCCCAGACUCCUACGGGAGGCAGCAGUGGGGAAUCUUGCGCAAUGGGCGAAAGCCUGACGCAGCGACGCCGCGUGAGGGAUGACGGCCUCGGUA
This 393-nucleotide ribosomal RNA is filed under the name uncultured bacterium. RNAcentral describes it as "bacterial SSU rRNA". It matches the Rfam family "Bacterial small subunit ribosomal RNA", at positions 28 to 424 of the family's 1533-position model. The record is from RNAcentral.